CAGUAGCCGCGGUAAAACGAAGGGUGCAAGCGUUAAUCGGAAUUACUGGGCGUAAAGCGUGCGUAGGCGGUGAGUUAAGUCUGCUGUGAAAUCCCCGGGCUCAACCUGGGAAUGGCAGUGGAUACUGGCUCGCUAGAGUGUGUCAGAGGAUGGUGGAAUUCCCGGUGUAGCGGUGAAAUGCGUAGAGAUCGGGAGGAACAUCAGUGGCGAAGGCGGCCAUCUGGGACAACACUGACGCUGAGGCGCGAAAGCGUGGGGAGCAAACAGGAUUAGAUACCCGCGUAGUCCCUGUCUCUUAUAC
RNAcentral lists this ribosomal RNA (301 nucleotides) under uncultured bacterium. Its description in RNAcentral is "partial 16S ribosomal RNA". It matches the Rfam family "Bacterial small subunit ribosomal RNA", at positions 509 to 807 of the family's 1533-position model. The record is from RNAcentral.